RNAcentral lists this ribosomal RNA (431 nucleotides) under uncultured Ensifer sp. RNAcentral's name for it is "bacterial SSU rRNA". It matches the Rfam family "Bacterial small subunit ribosomal RNA", at positions 29 to 508 of the family's 1533-position model. The record is from RNAcentral. Lineage: Bacteria; Pseudomonadati; Pseudomonadota; Alphaproteobacteria; Hyphomicrobiales; Rhizobiaceae.
ACGAACGCUGGCGGCAGGCUUAACACAUGCAAGUCGAGCGCCCCGCAAGGGGAGCGGCAGACGGGUGAGUAACGCGUGGGAAUCUACCCUUUUCUACGGAAUAACGCAGGGAAACUUGUGCUAAUACCGUAUGAGCCCUUCGGGGGAAAGAUUUAUCGGGAAAGGAUGAGCCCGCGUUGGAUUAGCUAGUUGGUGGGGUAAAGGCCUACCAAGGCGACGAUCCAUAGCUGGUCUGAGAGGAUGAUCAGCCACAUUGGGACUGAGACACGGCCCAAACUCCUACGGGAGGCAGCAGUGGGGAAUAUUGGACAAUGGGCGCAAGCCUGAUCCAGCCAUGCCGCGUGAGUGAUGAAGGCCCUAGGGUUGUAAAGCUCUUUCACCGGUGAAGAUAAUGACGGUAACCGGAGAAGAAGCCCCGGCUAACUUCGUGC